RNAcentral lists this long non-coding RNA (808 nucleotides) under Sorghum bicolor (sorghum). RNAcentral's name for it is "long non-coding RNA (SBIC_LNC002178)". Lineage: Eukaryota; Viridiplantae; Streptophyta; Magnoliopsida; Poales; Poaceae. The record is from RNAcentral.
CACAUAAUUAUAUAUAAUUUUAAUUUCAUAUUAACCAGAUUUCAUGCCUAAUAAAUAUCCAUAACAGGUCACGUUAUUCAUCAACCACAUAAUGUAAACCAUAGCUGCCCACAACACUCAUCAACCAUAUAAGAUAAGUUAUCUCAAGUUUUCAUUCAAGCCAACAUUACCAAGUCUGCUCGCACAAUUCAUGACAAGUCACCAUUAUACAAGGAACAACACACAUACAAUCUAGCUAAGUCAAAUGGCAGGCACAGGUCAUAUAUUGGCGUGAACAAUCUAACUAGCUAGAUUCACUACAAAAUGCCUCAUCUCCAUCUUAUCAAAAGAAAAAUGUCAUAUGUUUCCUUCCUCCAAGGCCUCCCUCAACCUGUAACAUCAAGAUGGCAUAGAAAAAAUUUUAGCAAGAAAAUGAAUACACAUGUAUCUAUAUUUGUGUAUCCCUGAAAACAGCUAGCUGAAAAUUAGACUAGCAAAAUGAUUUGCAUACAAUACACCACAAUUUGCAUACUAAUUGUUCCUUUUUUUUGCAUUCACUGACAAUUGCAGUUUAUUUACUCAAAAAAUUAGAAUCCAUAACAAAUUUUCUAAGGAUCAAUCUAAGUUUCAUGUAAGACAUCAAGCAGAUUUCAAUAUGAAAUAAAAAUAUAUAUCAUAAGCAACGACUAGGGAAACAGAAACCUACCAAUACAAACAAGUAGAGCUGCUGCCAAGAGCACAUUCAAAUGCCUUCCCAAGGUGUCCAAUUACACGUAGAGCAGCUGCAAUUACAAUAUGAUGAUGUCAGACUUGGCUGGUAUAUAUCAAC